AGCGAACGCUGGCGGCAGGCCUAACACAUGCAAGUCGAACGAGGUCUUCGGACCUAGUGGCGGACGGGUGAGUAACACGUGGGAACGUGCCCUUUGGUACGGAAUAACUCAGGGAAACUUGAGCUAAUACCGUAUGUGCCCUUCGGGGGAAAGAUUUAUCGCCAUUGGAGCGGCCCGCGUCUGAUUAGCUAGUUGGUGAGGUAAUGGCUCACCAAGGCUACGAUCAGUAGCUGGUCUGAGAGGAUGACCAGCCACAUUGGGACUGAGACACGGCCCAAACUCCUACGGGAGGCAGCAGUGGGGAAUCUUGCGCAAUGGGCGAAAGCCUGACGCAGCCAUGCCGCGUGUAUGAUGAAGGUCUUAGGAUUGUAAAAAUACUUUCACCGGUGAAGAUAAUGAC
Molecule: ribosomal RNA, 400 nt
Filed under: uncultured bacterium
Lineage: Bacteria
Description: bacterial SSU rRNA
Rfam family: Bacterial small subunit ribosomal RNA
Source: RNAcentral